GCGGANUGAGGUGCUUGCACCUUAUCUUAGCGGCGGACNGGUGNNUAAUGCUUAGGAUCUGCCUAUUAGUGGGGGACAACAUUCCGAAAGGAUGCUAAUACCGCAUACGUCCUACGGGAGAAAGCAGGGGAUCUUCGGACCUUGCGCUAAUAGAUGAGCCUAAGUCGGAUUAGCUAGUUGGUGGGGUAAAGGCCUACCAAGGCGACGAUCUGUAGCGGGUCUGAGAGGAUGAUCCGCCACACUGGGACUGAGACACGGCCCAGACUCCUACGGGAGGCAGCAGUGGGGAAUAUUGGACAAUGGGGGGAACCCUGAUCCAGCCAUGCCGCGUGUGUGAAGAAGGCCUUAUGGUUGUAAAGCACUUUAAGCGAGGAGGAGGCUACUGAGACUAAUACUCUUGGAUAGUGGACGUUACUCGCAGAAUAAGCACCGGCUAACUCUGUGCCAGCAGCCGCGGUAAUACAGANGGUGCGAGAGUCGACGUUUUAUCGGAUUUCUGGGCGUAAGCGUGCGUAGGCGGCUUUUUAAGUCGGAUGUGAAAUCCCCGAGCUUAACUUGGGAAUUGCAUUCGAUACUGGGAAGCUAGAGUAUGGGAGAGGAUGGUAGAAUUCCAGGUGUAGCGGUGAAAUGCGUAGAGAUCUGGAGGAAUACCGAUGGCGAAGGCAGCCAUCUGGCCUAAUACUGACGCUGAGGUACGAAAGCAUGGGGAGCAAACAGGAUUAGAUACCCUGGUAGUCCAUGCCGUAAACGAUGUCUACUAGCCGUUGGGGCCUUUGAGGCUUUAGUGGCGCAGCUAACGCGAUAAGUAGACCGCCUGGGGAGUACGGUCGCAAGACUAAAACUCAAAUGAAUUGACGGGGGCCCGCACAAGCGGUGGAGCAUGUGGUUUAAUUCGAUGCAACGCGAAGAACCUUACCUGGCCUUGACAUACUAGAAACUUUCCAGAGAU
RNAcentral lists this ribosomal RNA (949 nucleotides) under Acinetobacter junii. RNAcentral describes it as "bacterial SSU rRNA". It matches the Rfam family "Bacterial small subunit ribosomal RNA", at positions 66 to 1007 of the family's 1533-position model. The record is from RNAcentral. Lineage: Bacteria; Pseudomonadati; Pseudomonadota; Gammaproteobacteria; Moraxellales; Moraxellaceae.